RNAcentral lists this ribosomal RNA (254 nucleotides) under uncultured bacterium. RNAcentral's name for it is "partial 16S ribosomal RNA". It matches the Rfam family "Bacterial small subunit ribosomal RNA", at positions 524 to 776 of the family's 1533-position model. The record is from RNAcentral.
UACGUAGGGGGCAAGCGUUUGUCCGGAUUUAUUGGGCGUAAAGAGCGUGUAGGCGGCCAGACAGGUCCGUUGUGAAAACUCGAGGCUCAACCUCGAGACGUCGAUGGAAACCGUCUGGCUAGAGUCCGGAAGAGGAGAGUGGAAUUCCUGGUGUAGCGGUGAAAUGCGCAGAUAUCAGGAAGAACACCCGUGGCGAAGGCGGCUCUCUGGGACGGUACUGACGCUGAGACGCGAAAGCGUGGGGAGCGAACAGG